Molecule: ribosomal RNA, 441 nt
Filed under: uncultured bacterium
Lineage: Bacteria
Description: partial 16S ribosomal RNA
Rfam family: Bacterial small subunit ribosomal RNA
Source: RNAcentral
GAUGAACGCUGGCGGCGUGCCUAAUACAUGCAAGUCGAACGGGGAGUAGCAAUACUCUUAGUGGCGAACGGGUGAGUAACGCGUUGGUACCUGCCCCGAAGCGGGGGAUAACGGACCGAAAGGUCCGCUAAUACCCCAUGUGCUCGGUAACGAGUAAAGGUGAAAACCACUUUGGGAGGGGCCUGCGUCCCAUCAGCUAGUUGGUAAGGUAACGGCUUACCAAGGCGAUGACGGGUAGGGGACCUGAGAGGGUGGCCCCCCACAAUGGAACUGAAACACGGUCCAGACAACUACGGGUGGCAGCAGUAGGGAAUAUUGGAAAUGGGCGCAAGCCUGAACCAGCAACGCAGCGUGUGCGAUGACGGCCAUCGGGUUGUAAAGCACUUUUGACUGGGACGAGGAAGGACGGUACCGGUCGAAUCAGCCUCGGCUAACUACGUG